GUGAGGAGGGGGAACACACUACAGUUUACAUUGUGCUUUGGUGGGAAAGGAUCUAGAAACUCUAGUCUAGUGUUCAGAUUCAGAUUAUGUAUUAGCCAACUUCUUUCUCUCCAGCAGAUAAGUGCCCUGGAUAUCUAGAAGUGUGAUGACACAGAGCAGAGCCCACUGAGGAAAGCCAGAUCUGUAUUCAACUACAUGAACAAGCAAAUUGGUGAUGCUGGGUAAGUUCUUCCUGCUUUCAGUGUUUGAAUUGCCUUGAAAGAUUUGUGUUUACUUUUCAUCAGCUCCCUUUCCUUUGUAAGACUUUUGUUAUUUUCCAGCUCAACCCCUAAAUACCAACUUGUGCUGCUUAUAAUUUACUUACCAAGCUUGCUGCCGUGGAGAAUCAAGAGUGUGUGCUGUGCAAGGGACGAUGAGAAGGCAGCAGCAUUGUCCUCAUCACCAAAGGCCAUAGUCCUGCAGCACCUGAACAAGAGGAGCAGAGCAGAUCAUCACCCAAGUCCCAAGACCAGGACAAGACCAUAACUGCUGCAGCCAGUGCUGGAAGCACAGUGUGCUGUGCCACCAAAAGUCUGUUGGAGUUCUGUUUUGUUGCCUCUUGAAAAAAAAGUACUUAAACUCACAAUAUGGAUUUGCACUUCAAAUAUGGGAAGAAGCAUGUGCACUUCAGGAUCUCAGAGGAGAACACGUCUACGAAGUAUCUAAAUGAAAACUUCUGACCCAGAUGCCAAUGCAGUACACCAUAAUGUCAUAUGCUUGGAUACUGUAAAAAAUAAAAUAAAAACUUGGUAUAAGACUAUAUUGGAA
This 807-nucleotide long non-coding RNA is filed under the name Coturnix japonica (Japanese quail). RNAcentral describes it as "lncRNA (ENSCJPG00005000698.1)". Lineage: Eukaryota; Metazoa; Chordata; Aves; Galliformes; Phasianidae. The record is from RNAcentral.